Molecule: ribosomal RNA, 637 nt
Filed under: Salmonella enterica
Lineage: Bacteria; Pseudomonadati; Pseudomonadota; Gammaproteobacteria; Enterobacterales; Enterobacteriaceae
Description: partial 23S ribosomal RNA
Rfam family: Bacterial large subunit ribosomal RNA
Source: RNAcentral
CGUUCAACCUCAAAAGAAGCAGAGGGGGCUUAGUGGUGGGGUGACUGCGUACCUUUUGUAUAAUGGGUCAGCGACUUAUAUUCUGUAGCAAGGUUAACCGAAUAGGGGAGCCGGAGGGAAACCGAGUCUUAACCGGGCGUUAAGUUGCAGGGUAUAGACCCGAAACCCGGUGAUCUAGCCAUGGGCAGGUUGAAGGUUGGGUAACACUAACUGGAGGACCGAACCGACUAAUGUUGAAAAAUUAGCGGAUGACCUGUGGCUGGGGGUGAAAGGCCAAUCAAACCGGGAGAUAGCUGGUUCUCCCCGAAAGCUAUUUAGGUAGCGCCUCGUGAAUUCAUCUCCGGGGGUAGAGCACUGUUUCGGCUAGGGGGCCAUCCCGGCUUACCAACCCGAUGCAAACUGCGAAUACCGGAGAAUGUUAUCACGGGAGACACACGGCGGGUGCUAACGUCCGUCGUGAAGAGGGAAACAACCCAGACCGCCAGCUAAGGUCCCAAAGUCAUGGUUAAGUGGGAAACGAUGUGGGAAGGCCCAGACAGCCAGGAUGUUGGCUUAGAAGCAGCCAUCAUUUAAAGAAAGCGUAAUAGCUCACUGGUCGAGUCGGCCUGCGCGGAAGAUGUAACGGGGCUAAACCAUG